Molecule: ribosomal RNA, 562 nt
Filed under: uncultured bacterium
Lineage: Bacteria
Description: bacterial SSU rRNA
Rfam family: Bacterial small subunit ribosomal RNA
Source: RNAcentral
AGGGAAUAGAUACCCGGGUAGUCCACGCCGUAAACGUUGUGCGCUAGGUGUAGGAGGUAUCGACCCCUCCUGUGCCGGAGCUAAACGCAUUAAGCGCACCGCCUGGGGAGUACGCCCGCAAGGGUGAAACUCAAAGGAAUUGACGGGGGCCCGCACAAGCGGUGGAGCAUGUGGUUUAAUUCGAGGCAACGCGAAGAACCUUACCCAGGCUUGACAUCCCGCGCUACCCUGUGAAAGCAGGGGUUCUCCUUCGGGGGACGCGGAGACAGGUGCUGCACGGCUGUCGUCAGCUCGUGUCGUGAGAUGUUGGGUUAAGUCCCGCAACGAGCGCAACCCCUGUUCCCAGUUACCAGCGGUUCGGCCGGGCACUCUGGGAAGACUGCCGGUGAUAAGCCGGAGGAAGGUGGGGAUGACGUCAAGUCAUCACGGCCCUUACGCCUGGGGCGACACACGUGCUACAAUGGCCGGUACAAAGGGUUGCGAUACCGCGAGGUGGAGCCAAUCCCAAAAAGCCGGUCUCAGUUCGGAUUGGAGUCUGCAACUCGACUCCAUGAAGUCGGAA